RNAcentral lists this ribosomal RNA (462 nucleotides) under uncultured bacterium. RNAcentral's name for it is "partial 16S ribosomal RNA". It matches the Rfam family "Bacterial small subunit ribosomal RNA", at positions 28 to 507 of the family's 1533-position model. The record is from RNAcentral.
GACGAACGCUGGCGGCGUGCUUAACACAUGCAAGUCGAACGGAAAGGCCCUUCGGGGUACUCGAGUGGCGAACGGGCGAGUAACACGGGGGUGAUUUGCUCUGCACUCUGGGAUAAGCCUGGGAAACUGGGUCUAAUACCGAAUAGGACCACGCGCUUCAUGGUGUGUGGGGUCAAGCUUUUGCGGGGUGGGCUGGGCCCGCGGUCUAUCAGCUUGUUGGUGGGGUAAUGGCUUACAACGGCGACGACGGGUAGCCGGCCUGUGAGGGUGACCGGCCACACUGGGACUGAGGUACGGCCCAGACGCCUACGGGAGGCAGAAGUGGGGAAUAUUGCACAAUGGGCGCAAGCCUGAUGCAGCGACGCCGCGUGAGGGAUGACGGCCUUCGGGUUGUAAACCUCUUUCAAUAGGGACGAAGCGCAAGUGACGGUACCUAUAGAAGAAGCACCGGCCAACUACGUG